RNAcentral lists this ribosomal RNA (497 nucleotides) under uncultured bacterium. RNAcentral's name for it is "partial 16S ribosomal RNA". It matches the Rfam family "Bacterial small subunit ribosomal RNA", at positions 28 to 507 of the family's 1533-position model. The record is from RNAcentral.
GAUGAACGCUGGCGGUGUGCCUAAUACAUGCAAGUCGAGCGAACAGACGAGGAGCUUACUCCUCUGACGUUAGCGGCGGACGGGUGAGUAACACGUGGAUAACCUACCUAUAAGACUGGGAUAACUUCGGGAAACCGGAGCUAAUACCGGAUAACAUGUUGAACCGCAUGGUUCAACAGUGAAAGACGGUCUUGCUGUCACUUAUAGAUGGAUCCGCGUCGCAUUAGCUAGUUGGUAAGGUAACGGCUUACCAAGGCAACGAUGCGUAGCCGACCUGAGAGGGUGAUCGGCCAAACUGGAACUGAGACACGGUCCAGACUCCUACGGGAGGCAGCAGUAGGGAAUCUUCCGCAAUGGGCGAAAGCCUGACGGAGCAACGCCGCGUGAGUGAAGAAGGUCUUCGGAUCGUAAAACUCUGUUAUUAGGGAAGAACAAAUGUGUAAGUAACUAUGCACGUCUUGACGGUACCUAAUCAGAAAGCCACGGCUAACUACGUG